RNAcentral lists this ribosomal RNA (250 nucleotides) under uncultured prokaryote. RNAcentral describes it as "partial 16S ribosomal RNA". It matches the Rfam family "Bacterial small subunit ribosomal RNA", at positions 524 to 773 of the family's 1533-position model. The record is from RNAcentral.
UACGUAGGGAGCGAGCGUUGUCCGGAAUUACUGGGUGUAAAGGGUGCGUAGGCGGGUUUGCAAGUCAGAUGUGAAAUGCCGGGGCUCAACCCCGGAGCUGCAUUUGAAACUGCAGAUCUUGAGUGAGGUAGAGGUAAGCGGAAUUCCUAGUGUAGCGGUGAAAUGCGUAGAUAUUAGGAGGAACAUCGGUGGCGAAGGCGGCUUACUGGGCCUUUACUGACGCUGAGGCACGAAAGCGUGGGGAGCAAAC